GACGAACGCUGGCGGCGCGCCUAACACAUGCAAGUCGAACGAGCGAGAGAGAGCUUGCUUUCUCGAGCGAGUGGCGAACGGGUGAGUAACGCGUGAGGAACCUGCCUCAAAGAGGGGGACAACAGUUGGAAACGACUGCUAAUACCGCAUAAGCCCACGGGUCGGCAUCGACCAGAGGGAAAAGGAGCAAUCCGCUUUGAGAUGGCCUCGCGUCCGAUUAGCUAGUUGGUGAGGUAACGGCCCACCAAGGCGACGAUCGGUAGCCGGACUGAGAGGUUGAACGGCCACAUUGGGACUGAGACACGGCCCAGACUCCUACGGGAGGCAGCAGUGGGGAAUAUUGCACAAUGGGGGAAACCCUGAUGCAGCGACGCCGCGUGGAGGAAGAAGGUCUUCGGAUUGUAAACUCCUGUUGUUGAGGAAGAUAAUGACGGUACUCAACAAGGAAGUGACGGCUAACUACGUG
This 466-nucleotide ribosomal RNA is filed under the name uncultured organism. RNAcentral describes it as "bacterial SSU rRNA". It matches the Rfam family "Bacterial small subunit ribosomal RNA", at positions 28 to 507 of the family's 1533-position model. The record is from RNAcentral.